UUAAGAUAUUAAAUUUGUUGUCAGUAUGAAGAUGAUUUUGUGGUUUCAACAUCAAGAAAUAAAUGUAUGUUUGCAGGUAUCAAGAAGUUGGUGGGAUGGGUUAGAGAUGCCAUGGCAUUAGAGUGGAAAGGUAUCUAUCAGAAUGCAACUUCACCUUGAGGUAGUAACACAGAAGUUCAAGGACUGGACAUCAUAAUAAGGUAUCUGAGUGAAGAUUAAACACUAGAGGAAGGAAUUGAACUCACAAGGCAGGUGGUGGAACCACUGAGCUAAAUCCCCGGCCCUAUGCCAGCUUUCUUUCAAGGAACUCAACAAUUGUCAGAGGACACUGGUGCCUAAGUUAGGUAUAGCUUGUCCCUUGCCAGCCAGGAAGGUUUUCAAAGAAACAAAGGCCAAGGUAGCCAGAGAGGGGACAUGUCAUCCUGAAUAGCUUUUACAACUAGAGCCAAUAGAAAUGGUGAGGCUUCUGUGGUCUGGAGUCAGAGGGCUCAAAUUCACUAACUGGGCAUCUGUGCGCUCUGGGACACACAUCUGUCUCAUUUUGUGGCUGAUAAUGACCCCCCUCUGAAAAUGAAACCUGUACUGAAUCACUAUUUGAAGUUCUGCAGUGAAUGAAGUCUCUUGAAGAUCGCACACUCUGUGAAUGUCACUUCCUAUUGCGAUUGAGGAACAGGGUUUUAGAAAUCUAAAUAGCACGUGUUUCAGGAGAGGAAAUGGAAAUUGCCCAUCUCUGAAGAACUGGAAACUACCAUGUGCGACUUCUACCACCUUCUGUUGACCACAGUGGUCACAGGGCCUCCCAAGUUUCCAAGGACGAGCUCUCAGAGCCCCAGCACCUGAUGGAAUAAUGUUAAAUGGUGAUCAUUCUUAAUGCUCCACUAUAACCUGCAGAAAAGCCACUCUCUUUCCAGUGACGGUGAUGGAAACAGUAUGGAGUAGCCGUCCAGCACCUAGGCUCUGCUGACUUCAGGAGGUGGGAUUUUGAUUGCACUAUUUACCUGCUGUGUGCUCUGGUGAAAUUCAACUUCCUGUGCCUGUUCCCUCAUUUAAAAAAAGAGAUAGAGAGAGCCUGGGAAGCCUUGGAAUGGACUCUGUGGUGCACUGAGCUGCUAUUUGGCCUCUUGGUUCAGGUAGGUCUGAACUUUGUCAAUAUGUACAGAUGUAGUCCUUUUCCUUCCAAGGUGGGCUCUUGGGUCAGGCUCUGAAAUUAGGCUUGUCAUCUAUGGACUCAACCAGAUUGAAC
This 1243-nucleotide long non-coding RNA is filed under the name Heterocephalus glaber (naked mole-rat). Its description in RNAcentral is "lncRNA (ENSHGLG00100033164.1)". Lineage: Eukaryota; Metazoa; Chordata; Mammalia; Rodentia; Bathyergidae. The record is from RNAcentral.